AGAGACAGCAGUCGCCGCGGGAAUACAGAGGGUGCAAGCGUUAAUCGGAAUUACUGGGCGUAAAGCGCGCGUAGGUGGUUUGUUAAGUUGGAUGUGAAAGCCCCGGGCUCAACCUGGGAACUGCAUCCAAAACUGGCAAGCUAGAGUACGGUAGAGGGUGGUGGAAUUUCCUGUGUAGCGGUGAAAUGCGUAGAUAUAGGAAGGAACACCAGUGGCGAAGGCGACCACCUGGACUGAUACUGACACUGAGGUGCGAAAGCGUGGGGAGCAAACAGGAUUAGAUACCCCCGUAGUCCCUGUCUCUUAUAA
This 309-nucleotide ribosomal RNA is filed under the name uncultured bacterium. RNAcentral describes it as "partial 16S ribosomal RNA". It matches the Rfam family "Bacterial small subunit ribosomal RNA", at positions 504 to 809 of the family's 1533-position model. The record is from RNAcentral.